AUAUAGAGAGAGAGUUGCGACAACUCCAUUGACUCCAAUGGAACGCUUUUUUUACAGCAAUGGCAGCUUGUGGAGCCUCUCAAUAGUUCCCGGGAAGUAGCAGCAAACCGAUGCCGCGCCGUAGAGAUGCAGCAGAACAAACUGUUUGCGACGCACUUUUAAUAGGUAAGACGAUUAGUGGUUCUUCACCACAGGACUGUUCUGUGAUGGAGCAUCAGUAAUGAUGCAGGUCAGGAGUACUGAGGGGACCAUGGUGAGAAUGAAAACAAAAGCCUCAAUCCUCAACCUCAGCCGUAUAAAUCUUUUGGAGAUUUUUCCUUCUACUCCACAGCAUGAUGGAAGCCUGCUGGAGAGUGACUGAGCUUCUUUCUCCAACACAUCCACUGCAUUGGGGAGCUCCAUGAGUUUUGCAUUUUCCACAGAUGCUGGCAAAUCUGAUUAAUUUUUGGACAAUGUAGCCUGCGAGAUGGAAGAGAAUACAUUUCUCUGUUUUUGUGAGGUCAGGUGCUGUUCUGUUCUCCACCAUCAGCUGUUCCACUCUGACUGAUGGAGUGACGUUUUGUUUCACUGUUUCCAGGAAGUCUGCCAAAAAGCUACUGUCAUCUUCCUGGUAGCUCCCAGACGUGAUGGUGGUGAGGAACUGCCCUACUGAUAUGAUUCUCAGUGCAUGAUGGAAUUCCACUGGAGUUGGUAUGGGAUUUUUAGACCUCACACAGCUGAAUGUAUUUUCAAGACAGUCUUGUGUGAACCUUGAAGUUAACACAAACCUGUGUCCUCGUGUCAGCAUCUCUUCCUGUAUGCCCAAAACUGAUUUGGUUGCCAUUAUCACCCCUUUUUGAACAGGCUUCCAAACUCCCUUAUGACCAAUCUUCAUCCCAUAGAAUAGAUGGAUGAUAUCCUGUAGGAAGAUUAUGGCCUUUUCAUACUCCUCUAUCUUGACCCUGCUCAGUGCUGUAAUUGGAUGGCGAGAUGACAUAAGAUCAAACCAAUGAUCCACUUGCUCCAGGAACCACGCUGUAGUCAGGUAGGAGAGAGGGCGGUUUUCUUGCUGCACCAUAUACUUCAGUCCAGCACUUGUUGCCUUACUAAAUACAUUAAGAGCAGGACCAACCUUCAUUUUUUCAAAGUGGUUUGGCUCAAUGGCUGCAGCUGAUAGAUGGGGAGCUACUUUUAAUGCCAUCCCUUCUUGAAAGGACAAUAAGUCCUUAAUAGGGACCACUGAAACCUCAUUGGAAGGUAGGUUCUCUUUGUUAACCACAUUCUUUGGAAUUGUUAACACCUGUCCACGGACAAGGGCACUUUUUAGUGUUUCACCAGAUGUGGGACAUCAGGCAUGAAAUGGAGACACCUAUCCGGUGUUGUUGGAUGCGGCACAGAUGUUUUGGUGUGGUCGACCCCAAAGGAUUUCCACAUGGCCUGGUUAGGGCUACCCAUAUCGGUGGUGACAGCAAGCACAUGUAGCCCUAUGGAUGCUGCCCUCUCUAUUAAUUCUGUAAUUAUUGGCUUGUAUUCUGCUCCAUUGGUAGAAUUGCCACUGUAAUGAUAUGCCACUACUUGUUUCCAGCGAGUUGUGUUUCCAGCCAACAUAAACACACAAGCAUGUGUUGCUACUCCUGUGUUACCGGCAAAGUGACAUCACCAUAGAGUUUGCCUGUCAGCAUGUGCAGCUCAACACUUGGAGUGAUUGCCAUUUCAUCCAAGGACAGCACACACUCCCUUUCAAGGGUUCUGAUCGCUGGCAAGGGAAUCUGCAAUUCCUGUAGGGUCUUUUAACCAGUUGGACCGGCUGCAAAGCGAAUUUUCAAUGCCUUCUUAAUUGUUUCAUUGCUCCAUUUCAUACAUUUUGUGGUUCGUCUUCCUAAUGCCAUAAUUUGGUCUUUUGACAAAAAUUUCUUUAAAAUGUUGUCCCUAAUUUUAAUUCUUUUUUUGAGAGCUGCAUUUUCAUUCUUUAUUUUUCUUAGUGCUGACUUUGCAUUUUUUGAUAUUUUUUCUUGUCUCUUCAAUUUUUUUAAUAGACCCAGGUAACUGACUGAUGGUUCACUGGAAUGCUGACUGGCUGCUAACUGACUUGCUGCAUGCUGACUGGCUAGUGUCAGCUGUCCCUGUCUCUCCUCUCUAGCAAUGUCCUCUUUUUCUUCACUGUCACUUUCCCUUCUCUGAGUGUCCUCAAUCUUUUUUUCCUCAACCUUUGAAACUGAUAGAGGCAGAAUACAUUGUAAUGCUAAUUUUAAAUAUUGAAAAUAUCACAUCACUUCAAAAUUAGAAAUAUUACUUCAGCUAGUACGAGUUUGUACUUAUUAUAUAUAUAUAUCACCUGUAAUACUAUAGCUGUGAUCAACAGUGAUUUGCUGUAUGUCUACAGGUCUAAGGGUGCAUCGUGGAGCAGGGGCCCUCCUCUUUUUGACCACAGGACGAUGCAGAAAGAUUGUGGGAAUAGCAUCUGAUCUCAGCUUACUCUUGAAUUUUUUGGUCAUGACAAAUUGGUUUGCCUCAAAAUGUUCCUGCAGAGUAACUUGAGUUUAGUUUCCACACAAAACUUUUUUCUUUUUUUUUGUCUACCCACAUAUACUGUACAUAUCACAUGGUGGUUAAAUGCACAAUUAUAGGUAACACUAAUGACUCCCUUCCAAUGUCUCACCAUGAGUCUCAUCUCCCUGGGUUUUGCAAGGCUUUGCUUGUUCCUUAUUUCCAGUAAAUAAUUUUCCAUGUAAAAAGUGCAAAUAAAUUUAAGUAUAAUUACCUCACAAA
Molecule: long non-coding RNA, 2748 nt
Organism: Carassius carassius (crucian carp)
Lineage: Eukaryota; Metazoa; Chordata; Actinopteri; Cypriniformes; Cyprinidae
Exons: 5
Source: RefSeq, a predicted model, not a curated record